Molecule: ribosomal RNA, 484 nt
Filed under: uncultured bacterium
Lineage: Bacteria
Description: partial 16S ribosomal RNA
Rfam family: Bacterial small subunit ribosomal RNA
Source: RNAcentral
AUUGAACGCUGGCGGCAUGCCUUACACAUGCAAGUCGAACGGCAGCGCGGACUUCGGUCUGGCGGCGAGUGGCGAACGGGUGAGUAAUACAUCGGAACGUACCCUGUUGUGGGGGAUAACUAGUCGAAAGAUUAGCUAAUACCGCAUACGACCUGAGGGUGAAAGUGGGGGAUCGCAAGGCCUCACGCAGCAGGAGCGGCCGAUGUCUGAUUAGCUAGUUGGUGGGGUAAAGGCCCACCAAGGCGACGAUCAGUAGCUGGUCUGAGAGGACGAUCAGCCACACUGGGACUGAGACACGGCCCAGACUCCUACGGGAGGCAGCAGUGGGGAAUUUUGGACAAUGGGGGCAACCCUGAUCCAGCAAUGCCGCGUGUGUGAAGAAGGCCUUCGGGUUGUAAAGCACUUUUGUCCGGAAAGAAAUAGCGCUGGUUAAUACCUGGCGUGGAUGACGGUACCGGAAGAAUAAGCACCGGCUAACUACGUG